CAAAGCUUCCGCAAUGAAAGUAUUUUCCAAAAUUAAUCACUUUUCCUAAAAAUGACUUAAUCCAAUCGGUUUCCUAGAAAUAUCCAUGACAUUAAGGUGUGGCAAUGGCGGUAUGCAUGUCUAGGAUUGGACCCGAAGGGAGCUUGGUACUUAAGCAGUCCGAUGGACUCACCACCUCUUUUCCGGUUUCCUACCUGGUGCAUAGCUUCCAUUCACUUUAAUCCUUAAUGAAUUAAUCUUUUGAACAUCAAGUACGAUUUUCUGGACUUAGAAUGGAAAAAAAAAUUUUUAACGUUUUUGAUGUGGCAUGCCGGAUCCGGCCAUAACUUCUGGGCCGGGUUUGGGGUGCUACAUGGCUACACUUUAUCUGAUAUAUGUCAUAAUGGCAUGAUGUAGUGUGUAGGGAUAGGUGGGUGUUUUUAACCCCACAUGGUGUAAUGGGAUGGUCGGAGAUGGUGUGUAGAGGAUGGAGGUAAUCCACAGUUUUAGACGGAUCGGCGCAGGAGAGACUCAGCGGUGACCACUCAACCGUUUAAUUGUUAAACUUAGCAUUUAUGGUUUAUUUUAAUUUUGGGGAUUUAUUUGAGAGUUUAUAAUUUUUGGGACUCUCUAGAUUGUUUGGUUUUUAACUAUUUAUUUUUGGGUUAUUUGUCAAUUUUAUUGCUUUGGUAAAAUUAUUUUAUUAAAACGAAGAAUUUUAUGCAAACCAAAA
Molecule: long non-coding RNA, 712 nt
Organism: Gossypium arboreum
Lineage: Eukaryota; Viridiplantae; Streptophyta; Magnoliopsida; Malvales; Malvaceae
Exons: 2
Source: RefSeq, a predicted model, not a curated record